This 251-nucleotide ribosomal RNA is filed under the name Euphranta macularis. RNAcentral's name for it is "partial 28S ribosomal RNA". Lineage: Eukaryota; Metazoa; Arthropoda; Insecta; Diptera; Tephritidae. The record is from RNAcentral.
AGGUUAAGCCCGAUGAACCUGAAUAUCCAUUAUGAAAAAUUCAUCAUUAUAACUAUCAAUAUUAUUUUAAUUUAUUUUAAAAUAUAUAUUGUUAUGUGAUAGUGUGCAUUUUUUUCAUAUAAGGACAUUGUGAUCUAUUAACAUAUAUAAAUAUUUUUCACAAAAUAACUAUCUUAUAGUUUAUUUGAAUUAUUUUGUUUUUUAACAUAUUAUCACAAAAUAAAUGCGCAUGAGUUGAUAAAAUGUGGAUA